AGAUUGAGAGGUAUAUAAAAGAUUAAACAAGAUCAAUGAUUUAAUCAAAAAAUAAUGAGGUUCUAAACUACCUUGAGAUUUGGUUUAGGAUUUAGAAUUGAUUAGGAUUUGAUUUAGGAAUUAGGAUUUGGUUAAGUUAUGAUUAAGAUUUGAUUUAGGAUUUAUGAUUUGAUUAAGGUUUGCUCAAGGUUUGGUUAGAAUUUGAUUCAAGAUUUAGGAUUUGAUUAGGAUUUGAUUAGGAUUUGAUUUAAGGUUUAGGAUUUGGUUGAGAUUUGAUUUAGAAUUUAGGAUUUGGUUAAGAUUUGAUUUAGGAUUUAGGAUUUGGUUUAGGAUUUGAUUGAAGUCUAUUAGGAUUUCAAUUAAGAUUAAAUUAGAACUUAGUUGAGAUUUAUUUAAGAUAUAUUGUGAUAAUUUUAAUAUUUUUUUAAGGCUUCUUAAGGAUUCUUUUAAGAUUUAUUGUGGAUUAUCUUUCAACUCCUUUAAGAUUUCUUAUUGUCUCUUUUGUAAUUUUUUUAAGGUUUCUUUUUGAAUUUGAUUGAAGCUUAUUUAGCAUUGUUAAGGUUUAAUUAGAAUUUCUUUAAUAUUCUAUUAGAAUUAAAAUUUUGUUAUUGUAAUUUUCAUUCUACCUUCCACAAUCAAGUGCCCGAUGCACUCUCAAGCAACACUUCACGUAUUACGACACCGCAUUUCUACAGCGAUUUUUAAUGUUGCAUAUGGCCCCGAGCAUUUACGACAUAUUCGAAUCCAUCCAAUUUUCUAUGUUUUCCAAUUGAAAAAAUUUCAUACUAAGCCAAAGUGCUUUUUGGAUUGAUACCAACCACCACCACCACCAGUUGUAGUUAAUAAUCAAAAAGAAUAUGAAGUAGAUAGCAUUUUGGAGCAUUACUACAUUUACCAUGGUAGUGGACAUUUACAACUUCAAUACAAAGUUUUUUAGAAAGGUUAUUCCAUUCACAAUGCAAUAAGGGAACUUGCUUAAAACCUCACCUUUUGCCAAGAGACAAUUUGGAGAUACCAUUGGGAGCGAAACGAGGAUGUUCCACAUUAGUGGAGAGAGAUUAAUUGUAUCAGGGUAUAGAUAAGGUAUUUAUAUAUGGAUAAAUAGUUAGAACCAUGGAAGUUUCUAGAAGUGGGGUUAGGUUAGUAGACUAGGGAGA
RNAcentral lists this long non-coding RNA (1157 nucleotides) under Physcomitrium patens. RNAcentral's name for it is "long non-coding RNA (PPAT_LNC006557)". Lineage: Eukaryota; Viridiplantae; Streptophyta; Bryopsida; Funariales; Funariaceae. The record is from RNAcentral.